GCGCGAUGAUUCAGAUUUGGUGACUAGCGUCUGAGGUGGACUGACCAGCCUCGUCUGAAUAAGACGGAACCCAAGGCAUGGCUGUUCGCCGAAAGAUCGAAGCUUUAGUCGCUGUAUGAGCGCA
This 124-nucleotide small nucleolar RNA is filed under the name Loa loa (African eye worm). RNAcentral describes it as "c. elegans snoRNA ceN40". It matches the Rfam family "Nematode snoRNA ceN40". The record is from Rfam by way of RNAcentral. Lineage: Eukaryota; Metazoa; Nematoda; Chromadorea; Rhabditida; Onchocercidae.